AGAGUUUGAUCCUGGCUCAGGAUGAACGCUAGCGGCAGGCUUAAUACAUGCAAGUCGUGGGGCAGCAUGGUGUAGCAAUACACUGAUGGCGACCGGCAAACGGGUGCGGAACACGUACGCAACCUUCCUUUAACUGGAGAAUAGCCCGGGGAAACCCGGAUUAAUACUCCGUAACAUUAUGAAGUGGCAUCACUUUAUAAUUAUAGCUCCGGCGGUUGAAGAUGGGCGUGCGUCUGAUUAGGUAGUUGGCGGGGUAACGGCCCACCAAGCCUACGAUCAGUAACUGGUGUGAGAGCACGACCAGUCACACGGGCACUGAGACACGGGCCCGACUCCUACGGGAGGCAGCAGUAAGGAAUAUUGGUCAAUGGACGCAAGUCUGAACCAGCCAUGCCGCGUGGAGGAUGAAGGUCCUCUGGAUUGUAAACUUCUUUUAUUUGGGAAGAAACCCCCGAUUUCUAUUGGGGUGACGUACCAGA
Molecule: ribosomal RNA, 479 nt
Filed under: uncultured soil bacterium
Lineage: Bacteria
Description: bacterial SSU rRNA
Rfam family: Bacterial small subunit ribosomal RNA
Source: RNAcentral